This 1143-nucleotide long non-coding RNA is filed under the name Mytilus galloprovincialis (Mediterranean mussel). The record is from RNAcentral. Lineage: Eukaryota; Metazoa; Mollusca; Bivalvia; Mytilida; Mytilidae.
CACAUCAAAUUGGACAUUACAACAUUUCUGAGGAAAAAUCAACCAAAUGUUCUAUUCAUUCCACGGAAUUACACACUACAGAAAAUAAAUCGAUGUCAGGCGCACACUUUCCAAAAGAAAUAAACGAAAGUGUCUCUACCACAUGUGUCGACAGUUCUACAGAAGACGAAAGACCAAAAAACAAAGCUCAUGAACAACACCAUCAUACUAAUAUUGGCAAGAAAAUUCGUAGUCAUUUCCACAUAUACAGAUUUUCAUACAUGUUUAUGCUAAUAUCUUUUUUGGCACUGCUGUCAUAUAUUCCUCCAACAGUUUUAAUUUUAAUUGAAUCAAGAAAUGAUAGCUUUUGGAACAACAUGUCACAAAAUAAACUGCUCUUGCUUUUGUUCCUGCGACGCCUGUAUAUGCUUAAUAACAUAGUGAAUCCAUUCGUUUAUGGAUUGUUUGAUACGGCAUUCAAGAAAGAACUUAAGAAAAUAUGCUCAAGCUGGUCGUUCCCAAAGCUUAAUUUCUAAAUGGAUGGCCUCAGUCCCCGUUAAGCCUAGCACGCUGCUCAUAAUAAGUUAGAGAAUGAUUUAAAAAAUCUAAUUACCGAGAUCAUUUAUGAGAUCGCUUCAACAUUUACAAAGUAUUAAAAUGUGAAAUCUUACGGAACCAUUUUAAACCAAAUUGAUCUUUUAAAAGUAUUUGAAAAUGUCAUUCCUUCAGAAAAAACCCCAGUUUUAUUUGAUUUCAAUUUUUGAAGUUCGUAUUUGGACUCAAACUGCAUUGUUAACUUGAGAUAUCUGACAAUAGCUUAGGUUUAGGGACCAUGUAUCAAUUUCGAAAUUCAUAUCAUACAUUUGUCCUCUAAAAGUAUGAAGACCCACUGGACGGUAUUUUAGGUAGCGGCUGUGAUAUUACGGUUCCCGUACGAUAAGGAUUAAAAAAGAGUAAUAAACAUUUUAAGAAGGCCACUCUGCAACCUAGACACAAUCUAAAUAUUUUACUUUAUGAGCAAAACAUGAUAUUUUUCUUUACUUGAAAGAAUGACUCUAAACGUACAUUUCGUUACACCAUUCUUUUGACAAAUUGCUGUUGUUAUUCUACGUUUUGUUUAGAACUUUAUACAAUGAAUAUAUUAAGAUAACUAAUUGAUACACC